GGACAGAUGGCCGAGCGGUCUAAGGCGCUACGUUCAGGUGUAACCCCCCAGUUCCUUCCGAAUUCGUAGUCUCGCAAGAGGCGUGGGUUCGAAUCCCACUCUGUUCA
Molecule: non-coding RNA, 107 nt
Organism: Coniochaeta sp. 2T2.1
Lineage: Eukaryota; Fungi; Ascomycota; Sordariomycetes; Coniochaetales; Coniochaetaceae
Source: the annotation of a GenBank genome assembly